RNAcentral lists this ribosomal RNA (1499 nucleotides) under metagenome. Its description in RNAcentral is "bacterial LSU rRNA". It matches the Rfam family "Bacterial large subunit ribosomal RNA", at positions 1443 to 2925 of the family's 2925-position model. The record is from RNAcentral.
CGCUUCUAGACCGUUUGCAGCCAAGGGGUGACCCGGAUAGGUAAGCAGUGCAGGUGAUUGGUUGUGCCUGUUGGCCGGUGUAGUCGUCUGGGGGUAGGCAAAUCCGCUCCCAGGUUAAGAUGAGGCCGGUCGGGACCAGCGACGCAAGUCAAUGGGUAGCUGCCCAGUGCCUUUUCUGGCAAGAAAAGCCUCGUGGUGAGGUCUCUAGGCGCCCGUACCGUAAACCGACACAGGUAGGGUGGGAUAAAUGUCCCAAGGUGAUCGAGCGAACCCUCGUUAAGGAACUAGGCAAUCUCACCCCGUAACUUCGGGAUAAGGGGUGCCUCUUACCGUGUACCGACUUGCUCGGGAAGCGGCCGGGAGGUGGCACGAAAUCGGCCCAAGCGACUGUUUAACAAAAACACAGGUCUCUGCCAACCCGUAAGGGGAUGUAUAGGGGCCGACACCUGCCCAGUGCCGGAAGGUUAAGAGGAGGGGUUCACGCUCUGAAUCGAAGCCCCGGUGAACGGCGGCCGUAACUAUAACGGUCCUAAGGUAGCGAAAUUCCUUGUCGGGUAAGUUCCGACCCGCACGAAAGGUGUAACGACUUGGGCGCUGUCUCAACGAGGGGGGCGAAAUUGCAAUACCCGUGAAGAUGCGGGUUCCCCGCGCCAGGACAAAAAGACCCCGUGGAGCUUUACUGUAGCUUGGCCUUGUGUUGUUGCUCCGUCUGCGUAGGAUAGGUGGGAGCCUAUGAAACCGGGCUUUUGGGUUCGGUGGAGGCAACGGUGAAAUACCACUCUGACGGUGUGAUGGCACUCACUUCCGCCCCGCACGGGGGGAAGGACAGGGCCUGGUGGGCAGUUUAACUGGGGCGGUUGCCUCCCAAAUGGUAACGGAGGCGUUCAAAGGUCCUCUCAGGGUGGAUGGAAAUCACCCGAGGAGUGCAUGGGCACAAGAGGGCUUGACUGCGAGACCAACAAGUCGAGCAGGGCCGAAAGGCGGACCAAGUGAUCCUACGGCACUGUGUGGAAGGGCCGUGGCUUAUCGGACAAAAGCUACCCCGGGGAUAACAGGCUGAUCUUCCCCAAGAGUUCACAUCGACGGGAAGGUUUGGCACCUCGAUGUCGGCUCGUCGCAUCCUGGGGCUGGAGCAGGUCCCAAGGGUCCGGCUGUUCGCCGGUUAAAGCGGUACGCGAGCUGGGUUCAGAACGUCGUGAGACAGUUCGGUCUCUAUCCGGCGCGGGCGUAGGAGGUUUGCCGGGAGCUCUCCUUAGUACGAGAGGACCGGGAGGGACGCACCGCUGGUGUGCCAGUUGUUCUGCCAAGGGCAUCGCUGGGUAGCCAAGUGCGGACGCGAGAAGCGCUGAAAGCAUCUAAGCGCGAAACGCACCCCAAGAUGAGACCUCCCACCCAGAAAAUGGGGUAAGACCGCAGGAAGAACACCUGCUUGAUAGGCCGAAGGUGUAAGCGCUGCAAGGCGUUCAGCUUAUCGGUACUAAUGGUCGAGGCCUUGCCCC